RNAcentral lists this ribosomal RNA (253 nucleotides) under uncultured bacterium. Its description in RNAcentral is "partial 16S ribosomal RNA". It matches the Rfam family "Bacterial small subunit ribosomal RNA", at positions 524 to 776 of the family's 1533-position model. The record is from RNAcentral.
UACGUAGGGUGCGAGCGUUAAUCGGAAUUACUGGGCGUAAAGCGUGCGCAGGCGGUUCGUUGUGUCGGCGGUGAAAGCCCUGGGCUUAACCUGGGAAUGGCCGUUGAAACUGGCGAACUGGAGUGUGGCAGAGGGGGGUGGAAUUCCGCGUGUAGCAGUGAAAUGCGUAGAGAUGCGGAGGAACACCGAUGGCGAAGGCAGCCCCCUGGGCUAACACUGACGCUCAGGCACGAAAGCGUGGGGAGCAAACAGG